This 785-nucleotide ribosomal RNA is filed under the name Dictyostelium sp. RNAcentral's name for it is "SSU rRNA". It matches the Rfam family "Eukaryotic small subunit ribosomal RNA", at positions 46 to 836 of the family's 1831-position model. Lineage: Eukaryota; Evosea; Eumycetozoa; Dictyosteliales; Dictyosteliaceae. The record is from RNAcentral.
UAGCCAUGCAUGUCUAAGUAUAAAUUCUUGUACGAUGAAACUGCAGACGGCUCAUUACAACAGUGAUAAACUGCUAGACUUUCGGGUUUUUAACCUUUUGGAUAACCGCAGUAAAUCGGGGCUAAUACAUAGAAGCGAUGGGUGACUGGCAACGGAAGCUCAGCGAUUAUUAGCAUUACUACCAAUACCUUCGGGUCUUGUGGUGAAACCGAAUAAUAUUGCAGAUCGAGGAUUUAUCUUCGACAAGUCUACUGUGUCACUGCCCUAUCAACUUUCGAUGGUACGGUAUUGGCCUACCAUGGUUGUAACGGGUAACGGGGAAUUAGGGUUCGAUUCCGGAGAGGGAGCCUGAGAAAUGGCUACCACUUCUACGGAAGGCAGCAGGCGCGCAAAUUACUCAAUCCCAAUACGGGGAAGUAGUGACAAUAAAUAUCAAUACCUAUCCUUUUUGGAGGGCAAUUGAAAUGAACACAAAUUAAAACUCUUAAUUAACACAAUUGGAGGGCAAGUCUGGUGCCAGCAGCCGCGGUAAUUCCAGCUCCAAUAGCAUAUACUAAAGUUGUUGCAGUUAAAAAGCUCGUAGUUGAAGUUAAAGUUAUAUUGGGCUAAAGUUUUUUACCACUAUGUGGCUAAAAUAACUCCAAUAUUUCUUUUUUUAAUAGCUCAGUUUCUAGGUCUUUGACUCUAGUUAUUUGGGCAUUUCACUGUGAGAAAAUUGUGGUGUUUAAAGCAGGCGUCUCGUCUGAUCUUUUGCAGCAUGGUAUGAUGGAACAUGACAUUUUACG